CAACUUUCAACAACGGAUUUCUUGGCUCUCACAUCGAUGAAGAACGCAGCGAAAUGCGAUAAGUAAUGUGAAUUGCAGAAUUCAGUGAAUCAUCGAAUCUUUGAACGCAAAUUGCGCCCUUUGGUAUUCCGAAGGGCAUGCCUGUUUGAGUGUCUU
RNAcentral lists this ribosomal RNA (156 nucleotides) under uncultured Basidiomycota. RNAcentral's name for it is "5.8S ribosomal RNA". It matches the Rfam family "5.8S ribosomal RNA". Rfam says of the family: 5.8S ribosomal RNA (5.8S rRNA) is a component of the large subunit of the eukaryotic ribosome. It is transcribed by RNA polymerase I as part of the 45S precursor that also contains 18S and 28S rRNA. Functionally, it is thought that 5.8S rRNA may be involved in ribosome translocation. The record is from RNAcentral. Lineage: Eukaryota; Fungi; Basidiomycota.